GCUACAUGAUGACACUCCCGAUGACUGAACACUCUCUGGCUGGUCCGUGGUGUGUAUAUGAUGUACUGCACUGUUUCAAGACGGGACUGAUGGCAGC
Molecule: small nucleolar RNA, 97 nt
Filed under: Pterocles gutturalis (yellow-throated sandgrouse)
Lineage: Eukaryota; Metazoa; Chordata; Aves; Pterocliformes; Pteroclidae
Description: Small nucleolar RNA SNORD21
Rfam family: Small nucleolar RNA SNORD21
About the family: U21 is a member of the C/D class of snoRNA which contain the C (UGAUGA) and D (CUGA) box motifs. U21 is encoded within an intron of the gene for ribosomal protein L5 in mammals, but within introns of the ADP ribosylation factor gene in Drosophila.
Source: Rfam by way of RNAcentral